This 605-nucleotide non-coding RNA is filed under the name Pongo abelii (Sumatran orangutan). Lineage: Eukaryota; Metazoa; Chordata; Mammalia; Primates; Hominidae. The record is from RNAcentral.
CAGAGGUCGGGAUUCCUUCUUUCCUGCUCUGAGAGGGACCAGGUGCCUCCUCCGUAGCUUUUGUCUUUCUGUUGCCUGCGCGUGUCCUGGACUGCUCACGGGAGUUCUGCAGGAGACGCCGGAAUAUCUGGAAGCUGAAAAAUGGAAAUAAAUGGAAAGACCAGAAUAUUGAAGAUCACUACAGAACUCUAAGGUGACUCCCACGACCAGUGCGGGUCACAGCAUAGGUGACAGAAGCUAUGGCAGAGGCACUUGAACCCUCUCGGAGGGGAAAACCAGGCUCCCAACCUCAGCUCGCCUCCCGCAGCCAGGGACUGAGGAGAGCAGGGCCUUCCCCUCCCCGAUGGACACUUGGCAGGCCCCGCCCGGCGCCCCUGAUUGGACGAAGCGCCGGGCCCCGCCCCCUCAGCCUUUUGAGUCAGGGUCUCACCCUGUGGCCCAGGCUGCCCUCCAGUGAUGCCAUCAUGACUCAGUGCAACCUAAAACUCCCAGGUUCAAAUGAUCUACCAUCCUGACCUCCAAAAGGGCUAGAUUAUACACAUAAGCCAUGUCACACUUUAUAUGUUUCUAGGGAAGCUUUUCUAAGAAUAAAUACAUUGGAACUA